Molecule: long non-coding RNA, 863 nt
Organism: Apis dorsata (giant honeybee)
Lineage: Eukaryota; Metazoa; Arthropoda; Insecta; Hymenoptera; Apidae
Exons: 3
Source: RefSeq, a predicted model, not a curated record
UAGUGCGUAUAGUGGUGUAUAAUUGUGACUCCAAGGUGGACGGUCUAUCGAAAAAAUUCAAAUCGGAUGUGCGUGGUGUCCCACUGUUUACUCGACCUACCGAUCGUUCAGAGUGGUAGAUUAAAAAAAUCGUGCUAGUAACAGGAAGAAUCGCAAAUCGAGAUCGCACGAUAUGCAAUCGAACAUCAUCGAUCAACGUCGAAUCGUGUCGGAGUCGCAUGAUUCUCUCGAACCGAUGUUCGCCUUCGGACAGUAAACAAAAGUGACAGCGUGCGGAUGCCGUUCGGUCAUGCCUCCCGUCUCGUCCGUGUUUGCCGACAGUAUUUGACGUCUUGUUCUUCUGCGAGCUCGAAUUCCCUCACGUGGUUCAAGGUCUUCUAAAAUCAACUUAACGUCACGUUGCCAACAGACCCAGUGAGUUUCAUGCCACUUUCGCGAUCGAAUGUAUUAUCUCGAGUGUGUUGUCACUGACAGCAACACUGAGCGCGCUUUUCCCGGUUUUCGUUUAUGUGUUCUCGUGUAUUCUCCAAGGACUUGUCCCAGAAUUUUUGACACGAAGGACGUAAUAUCUUCAUAGAGCAUAAAAAGGAAAUCACUGGAUACGUCAAUAUUAGUUUUGCAGAGAAAUCUCCUUCCGUAUUUCGAGAACGCUCGAAGAGGAGAAGAGAGAUGUGCCAACAACUUCCGUCGUUGCGGAUGUUCCACGUGCUCCUCGAGUUCAUCGACGCCUUGUCGCACUGCGUCCCGUGCUAGGACCAUGUCCUAGUGAUACAUUUGACGCGUGACCCACCCACUGCCAAAACAGAGACUCCGCGUGUACGAAAACAGCUCAAACAUUAAAAUUCUUAAAUGUGAUCCCUCGU